Pezoporus occidentalis (night parrot) is the source of this 3241-nucleotide long non-coding RNA. RefSeq lists it as uncharacterized. The record is from RefSeq and is a predicted model, not a curated record. NCBI's taxonomy places the organism in Eukaryota, Metazoa, Chordata, Aves, Psittaciformes, Psittacidae. The transcript has 3 exons.
CUGGGAAAGACCAGGGAUUCCAUAGCCCACUGAAAGACCACAAGAGAGAAUUUCCUCGAGAAGCUAGAUGCAGUCCUCUUGCUCAGGUUCUGAGAGAGGUGGAUGGUGUGUGAAGAGAUGAGGUCUAAUAUUCUUUACUUUCCAUUUUCAAUUAAAGGUAUAAACCACUGAAGGUGAAAGCAUGCGUUUCAAAUGCUAACCUAGGACUCAGAAGAGAAGGGUUCGACACGCUGAUGUGCUACACACUUCUUGAGUAAGUAAUCUGAUGUUUCAUUUCCCCAUCUUCAAAAAUUGCAUCUAUUCACUUAUAUUCUCUGGAUUUCUUUCAGGUCUGUGACUCUCUUCUUUACUUCAAACCAGAUUUCCUCUGAGCUGGAAGGCAGCUCUUGUGGUGUAGUGUUCAGCAGGCACCAGCCUCUCUGCCUGAAUUCUGCUCACCUCUACUCGACAUGUCUCAUAUGCUAUGUUUGAGUAAAUAGAAAAAAUACAUAACAGCUGAAUAAUCAGGAGGAUGUGAAAUGAUAGUUUUCCUUAUCAAAUGUUUGAGACUUCAGUUCUUUGCGUAUAUUUAUGGAAAGCAAUAUCUUCCAAACAUUUUCCAAAUGUUUUUUGUCUCAUGAAAUAAUUUCCCAACCAUAUCCAUGUGUAACAUUUUAAAGCUUUUGAUCCUUCUUUGAAAAGGCUAUUCUAAGCUGUCAGUGUUCGCAAUAUUCUCUUCUAGCACUGGAAGUAUCUGUAUAAUAACCUCAAAAUUAAAAUGUUUUGGAAGCUUCUAAAUAUAAGUUUUAUAGCUGCAGCUGUCAGGAAACAGCAUUUUGACAAACUUGAACUUUUUAAAGGAAAGUAUCAAUUUUGAUUAAAUGUGCUUGAAAGGUGUUUUCUUAUUUGGACAAAGCACUUCAAUAGGCUCACAGCAUUCUCUACAUUUAUUGAAGUAUAAUAUUGCCAUUUGUUUCAAAAUUAUUUUUAAUUUUAAGAUUCACUAGUAACUACUAUAUAGACCAUACCCAAGAACAGAAAUAUUUUUGAAACAUUUCAGUAUUAUUUCUAUUCACUUUUAAAUACUUUUUCCCCAAAACAAAAUUAUUUUAUGAGAAAUCUCAAUUUUUAUUUGCAUUCUAAUUGAUUUUUUCUGAAAGCCAAUAUUUUCUAUGAAAUUACAGAUUUAAUAUAUUAUUUUAAUAAUUUUUCUGAAAUAUGAGGUUUGUCUAGCUGCAUUGAUUGUGCAAAGAUGUAAGCCUGCACAUACCUUUAACCAUGUUGAUCAAAUUUAAAAACCUCCUACUAACUCAGCAGAUUUUGGUCCAGUUAUCUUUUCCAGUGGUCAUAUUGCCCACUUGAUUUGAUCUUCAGAUUUUAGCUUUGUCAGUCAUCAUCCCUCAAUGAAGGAGGGCUUAGUUAGGUUUCUUAAGGGUGUUAGUGAUGAAAAAUACAGGCAUAUGGACAGGUCCAAAGAGCACUGAAAGCUCAAGAAAAAAGCCUGAAGGCAUGGCCUGUAAGUGAUGAAGGCAAGAGAGGAAUCUCAAGAAGGAAAGGGAAGAAUGAUACAUAAUCAAUUGCUUACCUAGAGACAGAGAGAGUAAUAAACAAUACUCUGGUGGACAAUCUAAAUUUCUGAAACAAGCAAACAGAAAGGAGUUGUUUAUUAAUAUCCAGAUACUUGACCAACAAUCCUGCUGGCAUUUCAAGGAUCAUUCUGUUGUAGCAGUUGUUUUUCCCAAUGAAUACAGCUUUUCAAAGUUUCUCCUAUUCUAAAAUAACUAUAAAGAAGGUUACUGAAAUAUCUUGAGAAGCAGAGGACUGAAGACUUUGCCACCAUUUUCACUUUUCACCCACUGUUGAUAUAUGGUGAUGUUGAUGUAUGGUGUGAACCCAAAUCUACCUCCUGAUGGCAAAGUCAUUGGUUAGGCAACCAGCCUCCUUCCCCAGGGUAUAGUGAAAGUCAGACACUUCAGGAAGUGAAAUAAAAUGUAAGAUAGCUAAAUGUAGGGCUACCUGCAGCAGCAGAAUUAAUGGGCAGGAGAAGUCUCUAAACUUUACAAAGCUUCAGGAGAGCACAUCUGGUGUUUUUCUCAGGCUCAAAAUUCUCUCAUAUAGAAACAGUAACACCUGUUUUGAGGUACCUGAUAUGUGCUCACUUAUGGCUGUUGAAAUACAAGAGGGUGAAAAACAGCAUUUUCCCGUGUGCAUAUAAUUCUCAAGUGAAUAGUUAAUUGAAUUCUGGACAGGAGAUGUGACGGAGGAGUUCCAAGAUCGCCUCAUACAAAUCCUACAUUGGUACUCCAACCACUGUCUUCUUCAGAACACUUUCAAAUGCUCCUCAUAAAGGUCAGAUGCUCUGCAGAAAGCAAUUGAAGAUUUGCUGAGCAUGACAGAAAGACAAGAAGAAGGUGUUUAACUCAGUAGCUGAGGGCUGGUUUGUAAAGGAUGUCAAAUCUUUUCACUAAAACUGUUUCUGUGUAGGAGAGGGAGAUAAUCCUUUUAAUGAGAACAGAAAUCCAGAAGUCUUUCUGUCUGUAACUGCUGCUCCAUUUCUGCAUUUCUACAGCCUACACAAAUUAUCCAUUCAUGUGGUUGUUCCAAAAAAAUAAAAAAGGAAACAAACCAACAAACGUUUUCUCUUUACCCCUACUUUGUAUUAGAUUGAGCCAGCUAGCAUGUAUUAGAAUUGUUAAAUCAUUCCCCAUAAAGCUUAAAAGCUUUUAAUUUAAAGAAUUAUAAAUAAAUAAAUAAACCACAAGUAGUGAUAGUAAUAUAGAAUGAGCCAGAAUAGUUUGAUGUUCUUUAGAACUGAGUGGAAGCUUCCAGUUAAAUAGUUUUGCACUGAAGCUGCUAAAUACUACAUAAAUCACUUUUUAAUACUUAAAUAGCUACUGGAUCUGAACCCGAGAGUCAGCUGCCUAAAGAUUUCUGAUUCUUGUCAAAAUCACUGGGUUAGCCACCUCCAUAUUUUAGAAAUAUAAACAUUCACCUCUUCCACCUUAUGUCCUUGUGUGUAAAACAGGAAUAAAGAAAAGCCUUUUCCUUUUUUGAGAGCUGAAGUUCACUAACAGUGGUAAUAGAAGGUACCUAAAAUCAUUUUACUCAUAUUUUCCACAGAGGUCAGUAAGCAAGUGCUAAGUGCCAAAAUAAUUCUCUGCUCUCCAAGCUGGCACUGACUUGCUAAGCUGAAGGACAGACUCUCUGGUCCAUUACCCUAGCUUCUAUAUUUUACAUUUUUGUCAAUAAAAAAUAAUGUACA